AACAUCGCGCACCUGCGGGAACCUGCGGAGGGAUCAUUACACAAUAAACAUAUGAAGGCUGCACCGCCAACAGGCGGCAAGGCUGGAGUAUUUUAUUACCCUUGUCUUUUGCGCACUUGUUGUUUCCUGGGCGGGUUCGCCCGCCUCCAGGACCACAUGAUAAACCUUUUUUAUGCAGUUGCAAUCAGCGUCAGUACAACAAAUGUAAAUCAUUUACAACUUUUAACAAUGGAUCUCAGA
RNAcentral lists this unclassified non-coding RNA (240 nucleotides) under soil metagenome. Its description in RNAcentral is "partial contains 5.8S ribosomal RNA, internal transcribed spacer 2, and large subunit ribosomal RNA". The record is from RNAcentral.